RNAcentral lists this ribosomal RNA (774 nucleotides) under uncultured Chloroflexota bacterium. RNAcentral describes it as "bacterial SSU rRNA". It matches the Rfam family "Bacterial small subunit ribosomal RNA", at positions 73 to 865 of the family's 1533-position model. The record is from RNAcentral. Lineage: Bacteria; Bacillati; Chloroflexota.
GGGUUAGCAAUAACUCUUAGUGGCGAACGGGUGAGUAACGCGUUGGUGACCUGCCCCAAAGACGGGGAUAACAGCUCGAAAGGGCUGCUAAUACCGGAUGAGGUUACGUUGGUUAGAGUGACGUAACGAAAGGAGCAAUCCGCUUUGGGAGGGGCCUGCGUCCCAUCAGCUAGUUGGUAAGGUAAAAGCUUACCAAGGCGAAGACGGGUAGGGGACCUGAGAGGGUGAUCCCCCACACUGGCACUGAAACACGGGCCAGACACCUACGGGUGGCAGCAGUAGGGAAUAUUGCACAAUGGGCGAAAGCCUGAUGCAGCAACGCCGCGUGCGCGAAGAAGGCCUUCGGGUCGUAAAGCGCUUUUCUGGGAGAUGAGGAAGGACAGUAUCCCAGGAAUAAGGCUCGGCUAACUACGUGCCAGCAGCCGCGGUAAAACGUAGGAGCCAAGCGUUAUCCGAAUUCACUGGGCGUAAAGCGCGUGCAGGCGGCCUGGUAAGUUGGAUGUGAAAUCUCCUGGCUCAACUGGGAGAGGCCGUUCAAUACUGCUGGGCUAGAGGGCGACAGAGGGAGGUGGAAUUCCGGGUGUAGUGGUGAAAUGCGUAGAUAUCCGGAGGAACACCAGAGGCGAAGGCGACCUCCUGGGUCGUACCUGACGCUCAGACGCGAAAGCUAGGGGAGCGAACGGGAUUAGAAACCCCGGUAGUCCUAGCCGUAAACGAUGUAGACUGGGUGUCGGCGGGGUAAAAGCCGUCGGUGCCGAAGCCAACGCGAUAAGU